This 253-nucleotide ribosomal RNA is filed under the name uncultured bacterium. RNAcentral describes it as "partial 16S ribosomal RNA". It matches the Rfam family "Bacterial small subunit ribosomal RNA", at positions 524 to 776 of the family's 1533-position model. The record is from RNAcentral.
UACGAAGGGGGCUAGCGUUGCUCGGAAUUACUGGGCGUAAAGGGAGCGUAGGCGGAUAGUUUAGUCAGAGGUGAAAGCCCAGGGCUCAACCUUGGAAUUGCCUUUGAUACUGGCUAUCUUGAGUACGGAAGAGGUAUGUGGAACUCCGAGUGUAGAGGUGAAAUUCGUAGAUAUUCGGAAGAACACCAGUGGCGAAGGCGACAUACUGGCUCAUUACUGACGCUGAGGCUCGAAAGCGUGGGGAGCAAACAGG